UACAGAGGUGGCAAGCGUUGUUCGGAAUUACUGGGCGUAAAGGGCGCGUAGGCGGUCUUUUAAGUCUUGUGUGAAAUCCCUCGGCUCAACUGAGGAACUGCACGGGAUACUGGAAGACUUGAGUUCGGGAGAGGGAAGCGGAAUUCCGGGUGUAGCGGUGAAAUGCGUAAAUAUCCGGAGGAACACCGGUGGCGAAGGCGGCUUCCUGGACCGAUUACUGACGCUGAGGCGCGAAAGCUAGGGGAGCAAACGGG
RNAcentral lists this ribosomal RNA (254 nucleotides) under uncultured bacterium. RNAcentral describes it as "partial 16S ribosomal RNA". It matches the Rfam family "Bacterial small subunit ribosomal RNA", at positions 524 to 776 of the family's 1533-position model. The record is from RNAcentral.